This 169-nucleotide ribosomal RNA is filed under the name uncultured bacterium. RNAcentral's name for it is "partial 16S ribosomal RNA". It matches the Rfam family "Bacterial small subunit ribosomal RNA", at positions 338 to 524 of the family's 1533-position model. The record is from RNAcentral.
CCUACGGGAGGCAGCAGUAGGGAAUUUUCCACAAUGGGGGCAACCCUGAUGGAGCAACGCCGCGUGCAGGAUGAAGGCCUUCGGGUUGUAAACUGCUUUUAUCUGUGAAGAUUUUGACGGUAGCAGAUGAAUAAGGAUCGGCUAAUUCCGUGCCAGCAGCCGCGGUAAU